RNAcentral lists this ribosomal RNA (338 nucleotides) under uncultured bacterium. Its description in RNAcentral is "bacterial SSU rRNA". It matches the Rfam family "Bacterial small subunit ribosomal RNA", at positions 28 to 367 of the family's 1533-position model. The record is from RNAcentral.
GACGAACGCUGGCGGCGUGCUUAACACAUGCAAGUCGAGCGGUAAGGCCCUUUCGGGGGUACACGAGCGGCGAACGGGUGAGUAACACGUGGGUGACCUGCCCUCAGCUCUGGGAUAAGCCUGGGAAACCGGGUCUAAUACUGGAUAUGACUCCAUGACGCAUGUUGUGGGGUGGAAAGCCUUGUGCGGCUGAGGAUGGGCCCGCGGCCUAUCAGCUUGUUGGUGGGGUGANGGCCUACCAAGGCGACGACGGGUAGCCGGCCUGAGAGGCGACCGGCCACACUGGGACUGAGACACGGCCCAGACUCCUACGGGAGGCAGCAGGUGGGGAAUCUUGC